CCUGGUGGUAAUAGCGUUUCUGAAACACCCGAUCCCAUCCCGAACUCGGCCGUGAAAAGAGACUGCGCCAAUGGUACUGCAUCUUAAGGUGUGGGAGAGUAGGUCACUGCCAGGU
This 115-nucleotide ribosomal RNA is filed under the name Insolitispirillum peregrinum. The record is from RNAcentral. Lineage: Bacteria; Pseudomonadati; Pseudomonadota; Alphaproteobacteria; Rhodospirillales; Novispirillaceae.